Nicotiana attenuata is the source of this 2667-nucleotide long non-coding RNA. RefSeq lists it as uncharacterized. NCBI's taxonomy places the organism in Eukaryota, Viridiplantae, Streptophyta, Magnoliopsida, Solanales, Solanaceae. The record is from RefSeq and is a predicted model, not a curated record. The transcript is spliced from 3 exons.
CCUAUAUUCUACUUAUUUAGAAGCGGGAGUUUAGCAGCUCUUCGUCGUCCUCAGAGGGGUACUUUGCAAAAACAAGGGCAACAUUAGACAUGGAAAGGCGGCACUACAAUGGACCCACCACAUUGACGACGAAGGCUCUCCGCCGUUUCGCUCUUCUUCAACCUGAAGCUUUCCCUGUCUGAUGAAUCUAAUUUGUGUCCCUUACCUCCCUGGAUAUACUCUCUUCCUUAUUAGGUUUGGAAUUGAAAUUAGGAACUUUUUUAGGCUGCAUAUUAAAUUCUUUUCUUAAAUUUUUUAUGCUAUUUUUCAUGUUUGUUGAUUAUAAUCUAAAAAAAAAAACAUAUCCAGUUUUAUAGGACUGACAACGGCUACAUCCAAUUGAAGGAUUUAGAUUUAUUCUUGUUCUCGCUAUAGGAACUUAGAGUGUAGUCAGUCACAGAAUUUUAUUCUUAAUGAUAUCUGCCAUUAAAAAAGCACAUGGAGUAACGAGAGCAGCAUAUACUAAUAUCACUCAAUUUGCAGUUUGCAGUGGAAGUGUGGAAGCCAGAAAAUUAUUUAUCAACUCUCAUAUAUAUAUUUGAAGUAUCAUUUGUAUUAGGAUUCUCUCCAUUAUUUUCAGCUUUUAUUUUGGCUGGAGCUUGGACAAGUUGUUUGGAGUUGAUUAUUAGAAUAUCUAAAAUUUAAAAAGAAAAAAAUUAAUGCUUCAUAAUCUCUAUUUAGCAUUUACUGCAAUUAUUUUUCUGUUUCUUUUAGGUUUUGGGAUAGAAAGAAUUAGAAUGCAUUUUUAUUUCAAUUUUAAAGUUUGAAAUUUUGUGUUGAUCUGAGAAAAUCUUUAUGAUAAUUUCCUUUAUAUAUGAGAAGCCCUCUAAUCUGUUGUGAAUGUAACCAUAGUUAAUGGCGGUGUAACUUUUUUUUCCUCCGAUUCUUGUGAAUGAGAUGAAAAAUUUAAGGAGUGGUUAGAGAAUGCAUAGAAGAUGCUUGAUACAUGUAUCUUUCAAAGUUCAUUUUUUUAAAUGCAAAGGAAAAGAGAAAGAACUCCUAAAAGAAAUAAUCCAAAGGUGAUUGUUGUAUUUUGGCUGCAGCUUUGGCUAUGUAUUGGAGUAAUUACAUACUUUGUUGUGGUUAUGACUUUGGAAGCUACUGCUAAAAGUGAUGAUAAUAUGUACAACAGGAAGGCAAGAUGAAGAAAAAGCCAAGCAAUACUUUAUACGUUUGAAGAAACUAACAACAUAGCUAAGUAAUGGUAGUUCUACUUAACAACAUCAAUUAGCAACACAGUAUUGUGACAGAAAGUUUUCACUUCUCUGGAAUUUGCUCUUGGUAAAUUGCAGGUAAGUUAGAUUUGUUGUCACAUUAUUACGCAAGUUACUCCUUGGUCGAAAAAUAGAGGCUUCCCGAGUCCCUGAAAAUUACUCCUUGGUCGAAAAAUAAAAAUACACCAUGAUAUAUCACAUGUAAUGAAGUUGAGAUUGCUUUGUGCAAUAUUUAUGCAUCUUGAACUACUUAUCUUGGAUGAUUCGUUAUUAUGUCAUUCAUAUGCUUGGUUGAAACAGAGCAGGAGGUAGCACUUGAGGGCUUUGCCGGAGUAGUUCGUAUGGAACCUGAGAAGGCUGAGUGUGUGGCCGCGAUUAUGAUCUUAGAGGUACUUCCAUAGAUACUCUAACUGUCCUCGGUAAUCUGGAACUCUACCUUUUCGAUUUUGCUGGAGAAAGAGCGCAGGCCUCAGUUAGAGUAAAUGGAGAUCACAAGCAUCAGACUUAAGAGGUGGAAAGAGACUGUUGAAGAAGAAUAAGAGGACUGUACGUCCAGCUUUCAAAAGCAAGGACACGAGGGGAAUCAGGAUUUGCCGAUAAUUCAGCGAAAUGUCCAGUUUUUGUGGCUUAACAUGCAAUCAUAUACUAUAUCUCAGAAGGCAUAUCUCAAGGUUAACUUUCCAAUACUUAUUACCCAUGAAUGUGAACGUGGAAAAUUGCGGGGUGGUUAAUGAAAAAAACCUUUCUUGCUUUAGAUCAUUUUGAAUGACAGACACACAAGGUUAUCAUAACUUAAAACCCACUCCUUAGGAAUGGAAAUUCUGGUUUGUCCGUAAUUAUGAAAUCUUAUUCAUUUGUCUAAACAAUAAGUUGCCUUUGUUUUGUUGUCCCAUAUUGUGACUUCUUAUGUGAGUGAUCUUUUAUGAUAUGCUGAUAGAGUGGAAGAAAUUAUGGUGAAGAAAUGAAAUGGUAUACCUUAAUUACCUUAAAAUGUCUAUUUUGUUCCCAAGCGAGUUGCAAUAUAGGACACCCAUAUUUUAUUUCUUCUGUUUUUAUGUCAAAACUGAAAAGUCAGCGAGUAUAUGUUCCACGUUAGUACAUGCUACCAAGAUCGAAGUUUAGAUUGCAUUGAAGUCAGCUAAUAUAUUAAGAAAAGUAUCUAGCAACAACAUUAGCCUUGUGAUACCUCAGGGACGGAAAAGCUUAAUAUUUUUCGUUUUCAGCAAAAAUCAGCUAUGUCCAGGUGUGCUAUAACAAGGGAUUUGAAAGUUCUAAUAGGUGUACAGUCUCUAACAUUCACUCUGUCAUGUUUUAGGCUAAUAAUCACAGUGAAUGAUGUUGAUUUCUUAUUGUAUCUAGAUGUCAGAAAUCAUCCAGUUCUUAUAUGCUACAAGUGCAGUAUUGUUUCUUUUUA